UUAAAGUUUCCUGAUGCUUGAGCCCUGUUGCAGAGAGAAAAUAAUUAGCCCUAUAUAACUUUCACCAAAAGCAAAUUAAUUAAUCAAGAAUAGCGCUAAUGCAAAAUGAACCAAUUGAUAACCGUCAAACACAAAAAAACAUGAGCAAUCCAAAUGUUAAGAUUAGAGGUUCUAAAAUGUUAUUAACCCUUAACCUCUUUUGUAUAUUUUAGAUGUAGGAUUUUGAUAAAACAGGCGAAUACGUGGAGAAUACAUGAUGGCAAUUUGAACGUGCAUAAUAAUGGACAGUGCAGAGUUAGCUCCAAUGCUAUAUUAGAAACCUAAUAA
This 327-nucleotide unclassified non-coding RNA is filed under the name Hevea brasiliensis (rubber tree). The record is from RNAcentral. Lineage: Eukaryota; Viridiplantae; Streptophyta; Magnoliopsida; Malpighiales; Euphorbiaceae.